UGUUGACCUCGGAUCAGGUAGGAAUACCCGCUGAACUUAAGCAUAUCAUA
RNAcentral lists this ribosomal RNA (50 nucleotides) under Fusarium oxysporum. RNAcentral's name for it is "partial 28S ribosomal RNA". RNAcentral also lists the same sequence under 1 other name. The record is from RNAcentral. Lineage: Eukaryota; Fungi; Ascomycota; Sordariomycetes; Hypocreales; Nectriaceae.